RNAcentral lists this ribosomal RNA (276 nucleotides) under uncultured bacterium. RNAcentral's name for it is "partial 16S ribosomal RNA". It matches the Rfam family "Bacterial small subunit ribosomal RNA", at positions 524 to 799 of the family's 1533-position model. The record is from RNAcentral.
UACGUAGGGGGCAAGCGUUAUCCGGAUUUACUGGGUGUAAAGGGAGCGUAGACGGCACAGCAAGUCCGAAGUGAAAACCCAGGGCUCAACCUUGGGAUUGCUUUGGAAACUGUUGAGCUGGAGUACGGGAGGGGCAGGCGGAAUUCCUAGUGUAGCGGUGAAAUGCGUAGAUAUUAGGAGGAACACCGGCGGCGAAGGCGGCCUGCUGGACCGUAACUGACGUUGAGGCUCGAAAGCGUGGGGAGCAAACAGGAUUAGAAACCCUAGUAGUCCCGG